Molecule: ribosomal RNA, 253 nt
Filed under: bacterium
Lineage: Bacteria
Also listed under: 1 other name
Description: partial 16S ribosomal RNA
Rfam family: Bacterial small subunit ribosomal RNA
Source: RNAcentral
UACGUAGGGUGCAAGCGUUGUCCGGAUUUAUUGGGUUUAAAGGGUGCGUAGGCGGGUUAAUAAGUUAGUGUUCAAAUAUGCCUGCUUAACAGGUAGCCGGGCAUUGAUACUGUUAAUCUUGAGUAAGUUUGGGGCUGGCGGAAUUUGUGGUGUAGCGGUGAAAUGCAUAGAUACCACAAGGAACACCGAUCGCGUAAGCAGCCAGCCAAGCCUUAACUGACGCUGAGGCACGAAAGCGUGGGUAGCAAACAGG